UGUGUGUGUAGAGGAUAGUGCAGCCCCUAACCAGAGUCCUGAUGGGUGCUGUGUCCAGAUCCAAGGUCUGGGGCUCCAGAGAGAGCAGGAGUGGUGCCUGAGGACUGAGGCCCAGGGGGCGGCCCUUCCCUACCCUGCACAGGCCCGGCUGGGCUGGAAAGCUGUCCCACAGCCGCAGUGAGGACAGCCGCAGGCCAGUGGGCUGCUCUGGGGGUCGUGUGGGACCUGGGGUGGGGCUGCAUGGGCUCACUGUGCCCUGACCCCAGGCCCCACCCACAGGCAAGGAGCCCGGCCUGUUUGAUGUGGUCAUCAUUAACGACAGCCUGGACCAGGCCUACGCAGAGCUGAAGGAGGCGCUCUCUGAGGAAAUCAAGAAAGCUCAAAGGACCGGCGCCUGAGGCUUGCUGUCUGUUCUUGGCACCCCGGGCCCAUACAGGACCAGGGCAGCAGCACUGAGCCACCCCCUUGGCAGGCGAUACGGCAGCUCUGCGCCCUUGGCCAGCAUGUGGAGUGGAGGGGAUGCUGCCCCUGUGGUUGGAACAUCCUGGGGUGACCCCCGACCUAGCCUCGCUGGGCUGUCCCCUGUCCCUAUCUCUCACUCUGGACCCAGGGCUGACAUCCUAAUAAAAUAACUGUUGGAUUAGAAACUCCAUAAA
Molecule: small RNA, 656 nt
Filed under: Pan troglodytes (chimpanzee)
Lineage: Eukaryota; Metazoa; Chordata; Mammalia; Primates; Hominidae
Description: processed transcript
Source: RNAcentral